CCCUACGGGGGGCAGCAGUGGGGGAUAUUGCACAAUGGGGGGAACCCUGGUGCAGCGACGCCGCGUGGGUGAAGAAGCGCCUCGGCGCGUAAAGCCCUGUCAGCAGGGAAGAAAAUGACGGUACCUGAAGAAGAAGCCCCGGCUAACUACGUGCCAGCAGCCGCGGUAAUACGUAGGGGGCAAGCGUUAUCCGGAUUUACUGGGUGUAAAGGGGGCGCAGACGGCGAUGCAAGCCAGGAGUGAAAGCCCGGGGCCCAACCCCGGGACUGCUCUUGGAACUGCGUGGCUGGAGUGCAGGAGGGGCG
Molecule: ribosomal RNA, 305 nt
Filed under: uncultured bacterium
Lineage: Bacteria
Description: partial 16S ribosomal RNA
Rfam family: Bacterial small subunit ribosomal RNA
Source: RNAcentral